Paramuricea clavata is the source of this 403-nucleotide non-coding RNA. The record is from the annotation of a GenBank genome assembly. Lineage: Eukaryota; Metazoa; Cnidaria; Anthozoa; Malacalcyonacea; Plexauridae.
UCAUCUUCUACUUUUCCGGAACACCGGCUGCCUUCGUGUUCCUUUCGAAUGUGUCAAAUAAUGUAGAUCUAUAUUCACUUUGGUAUAGACAGACAGACCUUUUUUAGAUUCUGCUUUAGUUUAUUGAAGAGGUGAAAUAUCGCCACAGUUGCUGCAAUCUCUGUUGUGCUUGUUAUCGGAAUAUUCAAGAUAAUUCCUUCCCAUAUCUUUCGUCGUGAUUUGACGUUAAUAAGCAGAUCAAAGUCUGCCUUGUGGAUUUCAGAUUCUUUUGUUGCCGGUAGUAUGUUAAUAACUGCUUCAAUGAAAUGCUCUCUCAUUCGAGUCUGGCUCUUGUUUUGCCUUUGUUAGCUACUCGAAGUCUACUUGUGAGUUGUUCGAAGUUGCUUACCACAAUGUGAUGUCC